AUUGAACGCUGGCGGCAUGCCUCACACAUGCAAGUCGAGCGCGAAAGGGGGCAACCCCGAGUAGAGCGGCGGACGGGUGAGUAACGCAUCGGAACGUGCCCAGUAGUGGGGGACAACCUCGAGAAAUCGAGGCUAAUACCGCAUACGACCCACGGGUGAAAGCGGGGGACCGCAAGGCCUCGCGCUAUUGGAGCGGCCGAUGUCCGAUUAGCUAGUUGGCGGGGUAAGAGCCCACCAAGGCGACGAUCGGUAGCUGGUCUGAGAGGACGACCAGCCACACUGGGACUGAGACACGGCCCAGACUCCUACGGGAGGCAGCAGUGGGGAAUUUUGGACAAUGGGGGCAACCCUGAAUCCAGCCAUGCCGCGUGCGGGAAGAAGGCC
RNAcentral lists this ribosomal RNA (384 nucleotides) under uncultured bacterium. RNAcentral's name for it is "bacterial SSU rRNA". It matches the Rfam family "Bacterial small subunit ribosomal RNA", at positions 29 to 416 of the family's 1533-position model. The record is from RNAcentral.